Anolis carolinensis (green anole) is the source of this 4779-nucleotide long non-coding RNA. RefSeq lists it as uncharacterized. The record is from RefSeq and is a predicted model, not a curated record. Lineage: Eukaryota; Metazoa; Chordata; Lepidosauria; Squamata; Anolidae. The transcript has 2 exons.
CCCCUGUACUAUGCCAUAUAAUGUGGUUUCAGAAUGAAGUUUAACUAUUAUAUCGCAGUGUAGAGGUGGCCUGAGACAUUCAAAGUGCCAAAAAGAGAGCCGAUCUUAACCUUGUGAAGAACAUCUUGACUAUAAUACGAGGGUUGAAUGAAAGGUAAUGCCUCCACCUUCGUAACUUCUCAACAGAUGGCAAUAGUGGUAUGUGGCAGGUACUGGCUUGUUCAGUAUACUCUUCUCUACAGUUCCAUUUGGUGGGAAGCCUUAGCAUUGAACGGUUGUGUUGUUAAAGUGUGAAGUAUGGAACCCUACACAGAGGGUCGGUCAAUGCGACUUAAGCAACGUGCAGUCACUGAAUUCUUGACAGCAGAAGGUGUCACUCCAAAGGAGAUUCAUCAGAGAAUGCAAGCUGUUUAUGGGGAUUGUGUUGAUGUGAGUCCUGUGUGUCAUUGGGCGAGUAAGUUUAAAGAUGUUGAAGUGGUAACAUCUGACUUGUGUGACAAACAAAGAGUUGCAUGUCCUGUGACAGCAACCACCGAGUUUCACAAGCAAAAGGUUGACAGGUUGAUUCAAGAGGAUCUUUGUAUCAUGCAGAAAUUUCAAGCAUAAUCGGCAUUUCACAAGAAUGUGUGGGUCACAUUAUUGCUUUGCUUGGCUAUCGGAAGAUCUGUGCACGAUGGGUCCUGUGAGAUGCUGGUUGCGGAAACAGAGUGUCAACUUCUUCCAUGACAGUUUCAGAAAACUUGUUCAUUGUUGGCAGAAAUGUAUCCAAUUAUUUGGUGAUUAUGUGAAAAAGUGAAUAGUGGUAGUUAAAGAGCACAUUCUAAGGAUUAUUUCUGCGUUUGAUUUAUUAAAAUAUUCCCAUUCAAACCCAAGUAACAAAGGUAGAAGCAUUAUUUUUCAUUCAACUCUUGUAGUUAUGUGCCUUGAAGGAUGGUGGAUUCUCCCUAUUUUGACAGCCUUGUUUUGGGAGUUCUUUAGUUUGGGUAUGGUCUGAAUAGCAGGUGGUACCAUUUACCAGAUUUUUAUGUAUUACUUUCAGAAAGCAUGGCUCUGUUUUGACCUGCCUCCAAAUCCCUCUGCUGAGCAGAAUGUCAUCCUCAGCUGGAGGACCGAUCGGGGCUGCUCAGAUGCUUUCCUCUGAUCCGCUUUUGUAUUUAUAUGGCCAGGAAAGCCGCCUGUUUUAUCUCUGCCCUUUAAUAGAAGACAGUGAGUCAUGAGGCCUUGCUCCAACCCUGGUUUGGGCCAGAAGAACGUUCAGUGCAUUGUCUUAUUAGCUCCUGGGUUUUUAAUUAACUAAGGGAACGGAGCUUUCUCUUCCUGCUUAUCGCCCCCUCCCAAAAAAAGCCCUGCUGAUUCACCUUUAAAAUACAUUAUCUGACCAAGAUGUAUUUCUGUAUCCUUUGUGUUCCAGCAUUCUCUGGUUAAGCGAUUUCCCUCCACUUUCCCCUGGUAAAUAUUUGCUUUCCCAAACUUUGGCUCUCCUGUAAAUCAUUUUCUGGCAUGUGAUCCUUGAUCUAAUGUUGUGUUGCACUUUGUGGGUUUGUUCUGGUUAGUUGAACAAUUCGAAGGGGCCCAUCGUAGGCAUGUGACUGACUCCACUAUUUGCCAAAGAUGGUGAAACUGUGUGUCUUUUUUACUUACUGUGUUUCUCCGAAAAUAAGAUAGCGUCUUAUAUUAAUUUUUGCUCCCAAAGAUGCGCUAGGUCUUAUUUUUAGGCGAUGCCUUAUUUUUCAAUGAAGAAAAAUUCACAUUUAUUGUUAAACAAAAAAAUGACAUUUAUUAUAUACUGUUCAGUAGUUGUUAUCACAAACCAGCAUGACCAGACAAACUGUGAAUCCUUUCAAGAAUUUCUUGUUACUACCACUAUUUCCAUGUACAACAAUCUAUAGUACGUACAUUUAUCGAUCCUGCAUGCUCUGGUGUUCUGUUUGGUGGACAUGCUUCCAAACAAAAACUUUGCUAGGUCUUACUUUUGGGGGAGGCCUUAUAUUUAGCAACUCAGCAAAACCUCUACUAGGUCUUAUUUUCAGAGGAUGUCUUAUUUUUGGGGAAACGGUAGGUAAGGGCCCUGCAACCAAAAACCAGGAUGGAAGAUGCCCAGAAGUGACAUCAUAACAAUUUCUGUUUUCAGCCAUUUCUUUCUGUUGUUUUUUCUCUUCAUUUUGAACAUUAGCACACAAAACAACUAUGUUUUGCAGUGGGUUUAUGCAAGAGUGACAAAGCUGAAAAAGCUCCCCUCGGCUUAUACUCGAGUGAGGGUCCUGACCUGCUUCUAUUCAGGUCAACUUAUACUUGAGCAUAUAGGUAUUCAGAGUUGGACAGUCUUAUUAAAGUCUUAUUAUCUUAAAUUGCAGUUUUAUAUAAAUAUUCAAAAACAUUUAACCUACUGAUGCCUCAAAUAAUGCAAUUUUAUUAAUAUCUAUUUUAUUUUUGAAAUUUACCAGUAGCUGCUGCAUUUCCCACCCUCAUCUUAUACUUGAGUCAAUACGUUUUCCCAGUUUUUGUGAUAAAAUUAGGUGCUUUGGCUUAUAUUCAGGUUGGCUUAUACUUGAGUAUAUACGGUAUAUACAAAAUAUACAAACACUACAGCUUCUACUCACAGCAGAAAUUCUCCAAAACACCAUCCAACCCUCAUCAAACUUAGUAUAACUACAACCUAUAUACUACUCCCAUUGCAUUAACCACCACACCCUAAUGACAGUGGCUUAACUUUUUUACAGGUGGUUAGUCCAGAAGUAAUAACUUUGCUAUCACUUAGAAAAUGCCAGGUAAUGUCCAAAUCCUGACAGUUCCCACCCAAAGAAACACCUUCUGUCGAUAAUGAACUGGAGCCAAACACAGAUAGGCAAACUCGUCUUCCUUUAGGCUUGCACCUUUGAUAUUUAGAAAUUUAAGAACCAAUCUUUCCCUUUUCUCUUCCAACUGUGUUGCAUUAGCACCUCUUCUUCAAUAAUUCUUCAGGGUAGCUGUAUUACAUUUCUAACCUGUUCCAGAUGCAGCAUUGCUGAGGCCUUUGAUUUUGGCCCCGAAACCUCCGAGCCUGGGAUGCUUUCGACCUGGCAACUCGUAUUUGUAACCGUCACUAUGCCUUGGAGUGGCAAAUUCCACAGCCUCCGCCUGGCAACAGCUGGCUUUUAACACUAGAUGGGAGACUCCAGUCUGACAGGGAACGAAGGGCCUUGACAUUUGCAGAUGUUUAUCCUCUCUCCCUUCCCAUUCCCUAAGGCAGGCAUGGGCCAACUUCAGCUCUCCCUCCAGGUUUUUGGACUUCAACUCCCACAAUUCCUAACAGCUGGUGAUUUCCACUUCAGUGGGAAGCUUCCCAUCAACAAGAUGAAGCAUCAUAGCAAUGAAGAUGGAAAAUAAGGUAGGGGCAAUAACACACCCGUUUGACACCUGUUUCCACCUUAAAUGGGUCACUUUGGGAGCCCUUGCAGUCCAAGACUGUUGCCAUCAUGUCAUCGUGGAGGAGCCACAGAAUGCUCACAAAUUCAUCAGGGCACCUGAUGUUUUGGAGGAUGGUCCAGAGAGCACUGUGAUUCAUUGUGUCAAAAGCCUUUACAAGGUCAAUGAAUGCCAUGUAUAGAGGAUGGAUUGGUUCACUGCAUUUUUCCUGGCAUUGUUGUGCAGUGAAGAUCAUCUCCACUGUUCCUCUGGAGGAUAUGCCGAUAUGCUAAUGACAGCGUCAUCUGUGCACAUUCAGAAAAGCUACAAGCCACUCUAACCACCUUUGCAGAAGCAUAGGAGAAACUCAGCCUCUCAUUGAACAUCGAGAAAACCAGUCAAUCCCUCUGCAAUGACAUAAAUACAGCUUAAUGGUGUAACAUUAGAAAAUGAUGACCAUUUCCACUCCCUUGGCAGCCACCUCUCCAACAUUUUCGCUUAUCCAACAUUCUGCGAGCCCGUUUAUGUUGGAUAAGUGAGAUUCUACUGUAUAUCUGUUUUUGUGUCUGUUUUAAUCACUGUAUUUUAACUGACUGUGUUUUAAAAUGUUGGAAUCCGCUCUGAGUCCCUUGAGGAGAUAGGGUAGUAUAUAAAGUUUUUACAAUAAUAAUAAUAAUAAUUAUUAUUAUUAUAAAAACUUUAUAUACUACCCUAACUAAUGGUGGCCAUAUGUAAGCCGCCUUGAGUCCCCUUCGGGGUAGAGAAAGGCAAGGUAGAAACUAUACACCCCCACACACAUAUAUAUAGUAUAUUAGUAGUAUAUAUACUAAUACAAGGAUUUUGUAAAUUCCUGUUUGCUAUUUAUUCAACAGUUGUGGGUCCAUGGACCGUAAUAAAAGUUAUCAUACUAAUAUACCCUGAUUCCCUGAAAAUAAGACAUCCCCAGAAAAUAAGACCUAGUAGAGAUUUUGCUGAAUUGCUAAAUAUAAGUCCUCCCCCGAAAGUAAGACCUAGUAAAGUUUUAGUUUGGAAGCAUGCAGGAUCGAUAAAUGUACAUACCAUAGAUUGUUGUACAUGGAAAUAAAGGUAGUAACAAGAAAUAAUAAUAAUACAAUAAUAACUUUAUUCUUGUAUCCCACCGCCAUCUCCCAUAAGGGACUCAGGGUAGCUUACACAGGGACAAGCCCAACAACAACAUACAUUUACAUACGAACAGAAAUGUAAAACAGUAAUUAACAUCUUGGGAAACCUUUACCUUUACCUUUUAAUUUAAAAACAGUAUAGCAAUAAAACAUAAUAUAGAAAUUCUUGAAAGGAUUCACAGUUUGGUUAUGCUGGUUUGUGAUGACAACUACUGUACAGUAGAUAAUAAAUUUUCAUUUUUUAAAAAUUCAA